GGAAACGAGUUUACGCAUGUCAAAAUAUUUCAGAAGCGAUGAACAUGAGAAUGAUCCUGAAGUAACAUUUAAGAAUAUUUAGCUAUCAUCAAAAUGUCUUACAGGGAUUUAAGAAAUUUCACAGAGAUGAUGCGGGCCCUUGGCUAUCAUCGUCUCAUCUCAAUGGAAAAUUUUCGCAAUCCCAACUUUCCACUUGUAGCAGAAGUCCUCACAUGGCUAGUGAAAAGGUUUGAUCCCAAUGCUGAUGUGCACCCAGAUAUCGACACAGAACAGGACAGAGUCAUAUUCAUUAAGUUAGCAGCAGAGUUUAUGGCAACCAAGGCCCACAUCAAGCUGAACACGAAGAAACUGUAUGGUGCUGACGGCUAUGCUGUAAAGGAACUCCUCAAAGCAACCUCGGUCCUGUACAAUGCCACGAAGACUAACGUGGCACAGUCCUUGGAGAAUCCAGAUGAGGAUUCUUCCCACAUUUCAUUUGAUGUCUCAUCCAAGAUAAGUGACCUGAAGGAAGCACGCCGACUGGCAUCAGAGAUCACAUCGAAGGGUGCUAGCCUGUACGACCUUCUGGGGAAGGAGGUCGACCUGAGGGAAAUGCGUGUGAUGGUGGUUGGUCGGACGCUAGAGAUAAAUGAAGUGGAGGGCGGACUACAAGCCUCUAUCAGGGCUGUUGAGAAUGAAAUAAAGAAGACUCUGAACAUGCUGGACAACGUGGCGUCCGACGAGGCCAACCUGGAGGCAAAGAUUGAGAAGAAGAAGACGGAGCUGGACCGGAACCAGAAGAGGCUGCAGACUCUACAGAGUGUCAGGCCAGCCUACAUGGAUGAGUACGAGAAGCUGGAGGAAGAUCUGCAGAAGUUGUAUGAUGCCUACCUCAUCAAGUUCCGCAACCUCACCUACCUAGAGCAGCAGCAGGAGGAGUACCACCGUGUCGAGGCCGAUAAAAUCGAGGAGACGGAGGCGGUGUUGAAGGUGAUGGCGGAGAAGAUCCGCACCGAAGAGAGGAAACAGCAGCAGAUAACCCCUGAAGAUGAACAGGACGACGACAUGUUCGGCCCAGAUGAUGAUGAUGAUAAUGAAUCCGAGGAUGAUCAUGUUGAGAAGAAACAGAGGCCAGUCCACCAUCGCACACGACCAGAAGCUGCUACAGGGGCCAGGACAAUAGGGAACCAGAUGGUGCGGGGAGGCAUGAACCCAGACAUCAGUGAGGAAAGUGGGUCAGAAGGGUCAGGAGACUCUGAGAUCGACCUGGACGAUGACGACGAUGAUGAUGAUGAAGAGGAUGACAGCGGUGAGGAGGUGGAGAUGGGGCCAGGGCCGCCGAGGAGGCGGGCCCAACAACCACAGCCAGGACUUGAUGAUAGUGACAAUGACUUCUAAUCUCUGUACCCUACAAGACAUGAAGCAUGUCUCUCCACAUUCCACAUGGCCUGACUACCUUUGUGCAGUGACAGCGGAAUCUCAAGCUUGUAGUCAUUUUCAGAAAAGAAACUGAUAUUUUGCAGCAAAUAUUUGACAUAUCAAUACUUUCCUAAUACUUGACUUUAUAACCUUUGUUCACAUGGACCCAGAUGUCUUAGAAGUCAGAAACCAUUGUGUCUCGAAAGCCUUUCCCACAUUCUCCUUAUGUAGCCGUACAAUGACAUGGUUAUCUGGUAGUUUUAAACAAGUACAUUGUGAAGGGGUGGCCUGGUGGUUAAACCAGUCUCUCAUCAUGCUGAAGGCCCAGGUUCGAUUCCCCACAUGCAUACAAUGUGUGAAGCUCAUUUCUGGUGUUCCCUGCCGUGAUAUUGCUGGAAUAUUGCUAAAAGCAGCAUAAAACUAUACUCACUCGUUGUGAAGGGACAUGUCAUAGCCACAGUGUUAACAUCUAUAUGGUGGGACAUUGGUUAACCCAGGGUUAGAAAUUGGCACUAGUCCUAUAGUCCUUGCCAAACUGUCCAAUGGUAAAGGUAUCAUAAGGACUAGUAGAAAAUUGCCAUUUUUAAGGGUUUUGCUAUAUGUUAUCAUUAUAAGGACUAGUGGACGAAAACUGUUAGUUUCUAACGCUGGGACUCAACUUAACCUCUAAGUUUAAACUGAGAACUUGAACACCGUACUGUUUAUCAAGUAAGAUACCGGACCCUAUUUUCAAACAUUUGUUACAACCAACAUACAUGUGAUCACAGCAGUCAGUUUUUCACCUUGCACAAAAUAGUUUCUUAUGCUCUGUGAUGAUGACUCUCUUGUAAAACUGGUUCACUCCCGAGAUGUCAGCAGAAAUUGUCUGGAAAUUGAUGCAUCAUGUUAUACUGAUAUAAACUCCGUCCAAAUGAAUCUCUGUUGUGUGCCUUUUGAUUCUCAGAGAGACUUGCAAACUUUACUUACAUGUUGAUCAUAUUUGUACUAAAGUGACCCUGUGUCAUUAUUGCCGUAAGGUCAAUAGUAUUGGUUACAGCGAAACCAGUGUGUCAUGUGUUCAACACCUAUUGGUGUAGUUCAGAAUCAUCCUUGAUUGAAGCUUUCUUCGGGAAUCUCAAAUGAUUUAUUUGUCUCACAAUGUGUAUCAUCAUAUUUGUGUAUGGUUCAUUAUGGAAAACCCGCCCACAUGUUCCACACCUACCCAUGGACAGCUACUGCCGCUAACUUUGGAUAGCUUCGUAGAAAGUUGUACCAGCUGUUUUGACCAAUCACAGGUCUCUGUACAGUAGAUUCAGAGAAAGUUGAACCAGCUGUUUUGACCAAUCACAGGUCUCUGUACAGUAGAUUCAGAGAAAGUUGAACCAGCUGUUUUGACCAAUCACAGGUCUCUGUACAUUAGCCAACAGCUCACUUAUUCUUCUUAUUCCUCCUGAAGGGAUUUAAGAAACAGUAAGAACUUUCACUUUUCUGGGAAUGUGGUUUGAGAGUUUUAAUUGUGAUUGUUAAUAAACAAAUGGGAAGGACAGAUGUUUAACUGGUACUGAGACAGCAGUAGUCACUGAGUACUGAGUUAAACCAUAAUGGUUUAGUUUUAUGGUUUGAAAAGAAGAGUUUUGACUCAAAGAUUAUAUUUAGAACCAAGUUCUAUUUGAGUGACCAUAGUUUCCCCAUAACUGACUCAGAGAAGAUGUGGAACAUGUAGACAAGGUUUUUCCAUAUGUUAUAAAAGUAUGAUUGUUUUAUAUCUGAAUCAUUGUUGAUCAUGACUUGCAGAAGCAAUAACAUGCAAAUCUAACAGUAAGGAUGAAACUGUUGUUAACCAUUACUUCAUGGUCACUGUUGUUGAAAUAGAGGAGCGUAUUGUCACAGAAUUCAUGGUCACAGUCACAGAAAGUGCUGAUUCAGCAAUAUUUGUAAAUAUAUCUGUGAUAUUAAAUACCCUGAAAAGUU
Molecule: unclassified non-coding RNA, 3348 nt
Filed under: Haliotis rufescens (red abalone)
Lineage: Eukaryota; Metazoa; Mollusca; Gastropoda; Lepetellida; Haliotidae
Description: clusterin-associated protein 1-like, transcript variant X1
Source: RNAcentral